This 391-nucleotide ribosomal RNA is filed under the name uncultured bacterium. RNAcentral describes it as "partial 16S ribosomal RNA". It matches the Rfam family "Bacterial small subunit ribosomal RNA", at positions 523 to 918 of the family's 1533-position model. The record is from RNAcentral.
AUACGUAGGUGACAAGCGUUAUCCGGAUUUACUGGGCGUAAAGGGCGUGUAGGCGGUCUUGCAAGUCAGAAGUGAAAUUCCUGAGCUCAACUCGGGCGCUGCUUCUGAAACUGCAGGACUUGAGUGCUGGAGGGGAUAGCGGAAUUCCUAGUGGAGCGGUAAAAUGCGCAGAUAUUAGGAAGAACACCGGUGGCGAAGGCGGCUAUCUGGACAGUAACUGACGCUGAGGCGCGAAAGCGUGGGGAGCAAACAGGAUUAGAUACCCUGGUAGUCCACGCCGUAAACGAUGAGCACUAAGUGUCGGAUGAAUUUUCGGCGCUGCAGUUAACACAAUAAGUGCUCCGCCUGGGGAGUACGGUCGCAAGACUGAAACUCAAAUGAAUUGACGGGG